UUUUUAAUUAUGAAAUAAUUCUAUAGCUCUAGAAACUUGUUCAUGAUAAAGACUGUAUAUGGUUUGCUCUCUCAACUUUGAACUGAUUUAAUGGAUUCUCCAUAUGGGGGAAAAUGAAGGUGAAAAUUAUGGCUGGUCACAUGCAUAUGGCCAUUCCAUGCUACCUUGUGAUGGUUUACAUGUUGUCAAGAUUAACAGCACCUGGAUGGGAAGAUGUGAUUAUCUAGUUUUAUUAUGAAAGGAAAGUUGGCUUAAACUUUACUCCUUGCGCGGUUACAUGAUUUACCUUUCAUCCAUCCGCCCCAGUUUAGGUCUUUAUUUUGUUUAUGUGGGGUUCUGAGCAUGUAACUUUUUACCCGUUUAUUUUUGCUGCAAAUCUAUUCUUGUUGCACAAAUGGUUCAACAGUGUUUUAAAAUUGGAAGUUUCCUCGAUCACACACUUUGU
This 445-nucleotide long non-coding RNA is filed under the name Populus trichocarpa (black cottonwood). RNAcentral describes it as "long non-coding RNA (PTRI_LNC003792)". The record is from RNAcentral. Lineage: Eukaryota; Viridiplantae; Streptophyta; Magnoliopsida; Malpighiales; Salicaceae.